Molecule: non-coding RNA, 28 nt
Filed under: Rattus norvegicus (Norway rat)
Lineage: Eukaryota; Metazoa; Chordata; Mammalia; Rodentia; Muridae
Source: RNAcentral
UGGCAAUCCUACUCAAAGCAGCAGUGGA